UCCACGCCGUAAACGAUGGAUACUAGCUGUUGGGGGCAACUUCAGUGGCUAAGCGAAAGUGAUAAGUAUCCCACCUGGGGAGUACGUUCGCAAGAAUGAAACUCAAAGGAAUUGACGGGGGCCCGCACAAGCGGUGGAGCAUGUGGUUUAAUUCGAUGAUACGCGAGGAACCUUACCAAGGCUUAAAUGUAGAUUGACAGGUUUGGAAACAGACUUUUCU
This 220-nucleotide ribosomal RNA is filed under the name uncultured bacterium. RNAcentral's name for it is "partial 16S ribosomal RNA". It matches the Rfam family "Bacterial small subunit ribosomal RNA", at positions 794 to 1017 of the family's 1533-position model. The record is from RNAcentral.